GAUUAAGCCAUGCAUGUCUAAGUUCACACCCUUGUACGGUGAAACCGCGAAUGGCUCAUUAAAUCAGUCGAGGUUCCUUAGAUGAUCCAAAUCUACUUGGAUAACUGUGGUAAUUCUAGAGCUAAUACAUGCCAACCAGCUCCGACCCUCACGGGAAAGAGCGCUUUUAUUAGUUCAAAACCAGUCGGGGCGUUAAACCCCCGUCCUUUGGUGACUCUGGAUAACUUUGUGCCGAUCGCAUGGCCUCGAGCCGGCGACGCAUCUUUCAAAUGUCUGCCCUAUCAAAUGACGAUGGUACGUGAUCUGCCUACCAUGUUAGCAACGGGUAGCGGGGAAUCAGGGUUCGAUUCCGGAGAGGGAGCAUGAGAAACGGCUACCACAUCCAAGGAAGGCAGCAGGCGCGCAACUUACCCACUCCUGGCACGGGGAGGUAGUGACGAAAAAUAACAAUACGGAACUCUUUUGAGGCUCCGUAAUUGGAAUGAGUACACUUUAAAGCCUUUAACGAGGAUCUAUUGGAGGGCAAGUCUGGUGCCAGCAGCCGCGGUAAUUCCAGCUCCAAUAGCGUAUACUAAAGUUGUUGCGAUUAAAAAGCUCGUAGUUGGAUCUCAGGCAUGGGCGCACGGUCCGCCUCGCGGCGGUCACUGUGUGUAUUGUUUCCCAUCCUACGCUUCCCGGUUGUUCAGCCCAUGGUGCUCUUGAUUGAGCGUUUUGGGUGGCCGGAACGUUUACUUUGAAGAAAUUAGAGUGUUCAAAGCAGGCACGUCGCCUGAAUAAUGGUGCAUGGAAUAAUGGAAUAGGACCUCGGUUCUAUUUUGCUGGUUUUCGGAACACGAGGUAAUGAUUAAGAGGGACAGACGGGGGCAUCCGUAUUGCGGUGUUAGAGGUGAAAUUCUUGGAUCAUCGCAAGACGAACGACUGCGAAAGCAUUUGCCAAGCAUGUUUUCAUUAGUCAA
RNAcentral lists this ribosomal RNA (956 nucleotides) under Melarhaphe neritoides. RNAcentral describes it as "SSU rRNA". It matches the Rfam family "Eukaryotic small subunit ribosomal RNA", at positions 42 to 980 of the family's 1831-position model. Lineage: Eukaryota; Metazoa; Mollusca; Gastropoda; Littorinimorpha; Littorinidae. The record is from RNAcentral.